UGAGCUUACAUGCAAAUGAGCACAGACAGGCAUGAUGUUUUAGACUUCAUCCUUCAUUUCAGAUUUUUUGUAUAUUAUAUAUUACUUUUUUAACCCUAUCAAAUAUGAAUGACUUUUCUAAAUCUGAGAAGAACCAAAUCUGUACUCACUGGUGUAUAAAUUAUCAUGUGACAACAUUCACAAGGCAACAGAAACCUUCCUAAUACACUUUAACUGAACAAUUUUAUUGAAAAAACAUGUGCACACUAAGUUACAUCUACUAUUUACCGUAUGCUGCGUAUAAACUUUAUAGAACUAAAAGACAAUAGACACAACAGUAAAAUAAUAAUGAUGAUAAUGAUGUU
Molecule: non-coding RNA, 344 nt
Organism: Pelobates cultripes (western spadefoot toad)
Lineage: Eukaryota; Metazoa; Chordata; Amphibia; Anura; Pelobatidae
Source: the annotation of a GenBank genome assembly